GAUGAUUUGGGGAAAAUUGUUGAUAUGCCAGAUUUCCAGGAAAGCGAAGAUGCUGAUUGGACCAGGACACAAGAUUUGAUUAAGACUGGAGAUAGAGAAGACGUGGAACUAGUAAGCUGCAAUACCAAAGGGUUCAUUGUUUCUUUUGGUUCAUUGGUAGGAUUUCUGCCAUACCA
Long non-coding RNA from Glycine soja, 176 nucleotides. RefSeq lists it as uncharacterized. Lineage: Eukaryota; Viridiplantae; Streptophyta; Magnoliopsida; Fabales; Fabaceae. The transcript is spliced from 3 exons. The record is from RefSeq and is a predicted model, not a curated record.